GGGGGAAGAGUCAUAACUCAGUAGUAGAACAUCUGCCUUGCGUGCAGAAGGCCGCAGGUUCAACUCCCAGCAUCUCCA
Molecule: non-coding RNA, 78 nt
Organism: Podarcis lilfordi (Lilford's wall lizard)
Lineage: Eukaryota; Metazoa; Chordata; Lepidosauria; Squamata; Lacertidae
Source: the annotation of a GenBank genome assembly